CAGAAGUGCGAAUGCUGACAUAAGUAACGAUAAAGCGGGUGAAAAGCCCGCUCGCCGGAAGACCAAGGGUUCCUGUCCAACGUUAAUCGGGGCAGGGUGAGUCGACCCCUAAGGCGAGGCCGAAAGGCGUAGUCGAUGGGAAACAGGUUAAUAUUCCUGUACUUGGUGUUACUGCGAAGGGGGGACGGAGAAGGCUAUGUUGGCCGGGCGACGGUUGUCCCGGUUUAAGCGUGUAGGCUGGUUUUCCAGGCAAAUCCGGAAAAUCAAGGCUGAGGCGUGAUGACGAGGCACUACGGUGCUGAAGCAACAAAUGCCCUGCUUCCAGGAAAAGCCUCUAAGCAUCAGGUAACAUCAAAUCGUACCCCAAACCGACACAGGUGGUCAGGUAGAGAAUACCAAGGCGCUUGAGAGAACUCGGGUGAAGGAACUAGGCAAAAUGGUGCCGUAACUUCGGGAGAAGGCACGCUGAUAUGUAGGUGAAGUCCCUCGCGGAUGGAGCUGAAAUCAGUCGAAGAUACCAGCUGGCUGCAACUGUUUAUUAAAAACACAGCACUGUGCAAACACGAAAGUGGACGUAUACGGUGUGACGCCUGCCCGGUGCCGGAAGGUUAAUUGAUGGGGUCAGCGCAAGCGAAGCUCUUGAUCGAAGCCCCGGUAAACGGCGGCCGUAACUAUAACGGUCCUAAGGUAGCGAAAUUCCUUGUCGGGUAAGUUCCGACCUGCACGAAUGGCGUAAUGAUGGCCAGGCUGUCUCCACCCGAGACUCAGUGAAAUUGAACUCGCUGUGAAGAUGCAGUGUACCCGCGGCAAGACGGAAAGACCCCGUGAACCUUUACUAUAGCUUGACACUGAACAUUGAGCCUUGAUGUGUAGGAUAGGUGGGAGGCUUAGAAGUGUGGACGCCAGUCUGCAUGGAGCCGACCUUGAAAUACCACCCUUUAAUGUUUGAUGUUCUAACGUUGACCCGUAAUCCGGGUUGCGGACAGUGUCUGGUGGGUAGUUUGACUGGGGCGGUCUCCUCCUAAAGAGUAACGGAGGAGCACGAAGGUUGGCUAAUCCUGGUCGGACAUCAGGAGGUUAGUGCAAUGGCAUAAGCCAGCUUGACUGCGAGCGUGACGGCGCGAGCAGGUGCGAAAGCAGGUCAUAGUGAUCCGGUGGUUCUGAAUGGAAGGGCCAUCGCUCAACGGAUAAAAGGUACUCCGGGGAUAACAGGCUGAUACCGCCCAAGAGUUCAUAUCGACGGCGGUGUUUGGCACCUCGAUGUCGGCUCAUCACAUCCUGGGGCUGAAGUAGGUCCCAAGGGUAUGGCUGUUCGCCAUUUAAAGUGGUACGCGAGCUGGGUUUAGAACGUCGUGAGACAGUUCGGUCCCUAUCUGCCGUGGGCGCUGGAGAACUGAGGGGGGCUGCUCCUAGUACGAGAGGACCGGAGUGGACGCAUCACUGGUGUUCGGGUUGUCAUGCCAAUGGCACUGCCCGGUAGCUAAAUGCGGAAGAGAUAAGUGCUGAAAGCAUCUAAGCACGAAACUUGCCCCGAGAUGAGUUCUCCCUGACCCUUUAAGGGUCCUGAAGGAACGUUGAAGACGACGACGUUGAUAGGCCGGGUGUGUAAGCGCAGCGAUGCGUUGAGCUAACCGGUACUAAUGAACCGUGAG
Molecule: ribosomal RNA, 1652 nt
Filed under: Escherichia coli
Lineage: Bacteria; Pseudomonadati; Pseudomonadota; Gammaproteobacteria; Enterobacterales; Enterobacteriaceae
Description: partial 23S ribosomal RNA
Rfam family: Bacterial large subunit ribosomal RNA
Source: RNAcentral